AUACCUUUCUCGGCCUUUUGGCUAAGAUCAAGUGUAGUAUCUGUUCUUAUCAGUUUAAUAUCUGAUAUGUGGGCCAAUGGUCCACACGAUAUUAAAUUAAUUUUUUGAAGGGGAGAUUUCAGUACAGUAGCUUGCUACUGAGGAUUUCAUUUGUCGCUCAAAUCUUGCACUAAAGCUUGAGCAGGCACACCCUAU
Molecule: small nuclear RNA, 195 nt
Organism: Vigna angularis (adzuki bean)
Lineage: Eukaryota; Viridiplantae; Streptophyta; Magnoliopsida; Fabales; Fabaceae
Rfam family: U2 spliceosomal RNA
About the family: U2 is a small nuclear RNA (snRNA) component of the spliceosome (involved in pre-mRNA splicing). Complementary binding between U2 snRNA (in an area lying towards the 5' end but 3' to hairpin I) and the branchpoint sequence (BPS) of the intron results the bulging out of an unpaired adenosine, on the BPS, which initiates a nucleophilic attack at the intronic 5' splice site, thus starting the first of two transesterification reactions that mediate splicing.
Source: Rfam